UCAUUAGUAUUCAAAUAUACAGAAAUCGAUCAUACGAUCGAUAAAAACAAACUUGACAAUACAUCUCGUCGGGUGUGCGGUUGAUUUUGCAGAGAAAGCUUAUCGUGGGAAAAGGUGUGCAAUCAUGGUUUUUGGCGAAGCUCUAGUGUUGGCGUUCCUGGCCACAACAGUAGCCUUAUUUGGUGUGUCUGUGCACAGUAUUUUCACAUCCAAGCACAACUCGCUGAUGGAAUUGAGAAAACUGGAGGAUCAGAUGAUGGAAAAGUACGGCUGGAAUCCUUCAAUGCCUUACAAUGCAUACAACUAAAGAUAAAAAGCGUAGAAGAAAAGCUUAAACUGGAUUUUUCAACCAGAUAAUUGCUGGCCUUCAGUAAGUGUGAAGAAACUGUAGAUCGAGGUUGCAUUGGAAUUCCAAGUUCCACAAGAAUUUUUUUUGUAUAUUGGCGUGUUAAUUACAACACCGUAGAAGGACUGAUCUGCAAAGAUGACCUAAGAAGUUUUGCCCUGGUUUUAUUAUAAGCUUAGCACAUUUACGAGAUAUUAACAAGAAGAAACCUACAUGCUUUCCUUUAGAGUAACGUGAACCAGCUUGAUACAGUUGUGUGAUACCUGAUUAACAAUUUAGCUUUUAAAGGUAUUUAUCGGUUCAAUGUUAUUUGUAGGUUAAAAAUUUUUCAUCGAAACAAUCUUACUGUCAAGAUUGUGGUCAAUCGAGUGUAGGAUCCGGAAAUGAGUAAAGAUCUAGUAAGAUCUAAAUUAAACCUUUUUUUAUCUUUAAUGAGAACCUUCAGUAGUCCUUCAGCUGACGGCCAGCUUUCUUCUGAGAAACGCGACAAACGGGUUUCUGAAAAUAUACUCGUACAACAGUUUACAACUCUUCUGAAAAUAAUUAUGCUGAGGACCGGUUGUUAUUUAUUGCCCGGGAGGGGAGGGGUAGGAAUUUUGGUCUUGUUACGAUUAAAUUUACCUGAUCCCCCAUAAAGCUCUGUAGUAGUCUUAUGAUUCUCGCUUAUUGGCAGUUAAUUAGCAGUUAAUUUUAUAUAGCCUCCUUUUAGUCUACUUUAGGGACGAUUGAUGCCCCCUCUUUUUUCCAAAACCCCCUCCCCCCACCCCCACCACCUCAGGCAAUAAAUGGCAGACUAUGUUCUAACUUGCAGAUUUCUGUUGGGUAAGCCUCUCACUUAGUAAAGACGCUAGUUUGCACGCUGAGUUUUUUCACUUGUAAAUGUUAAAUCGCUAUUAUUCCCCCACCGUGAUUUAAAGAAGCAGACAGCGUAACGGGAAAAUUUAACAUGUUUUGGUCACGUACUGUCGUGUAGUUUGCGAGGUAAUUAAUAUUCAGCAUGUAAACAGUUUGCGCUCUGAUGGUUUCCUGAGAGUUUAGAUAAAUUAAAUUGGAGGGCUCUCUCCAGACGAAAACGAAA
Molecule: long non-coding RNA, 1424 nt
Organism: Pocillopora verrucosa
Lineage: Eukaryota; Metazoa; Cnidaria; Anthozoa; Scleractinia; Pocilloporidae
Source: RefSeq, a predicted model, not a curated record